RNAcentral lists this ribosomal RNA (231 nucleotides) under Triticum aestivum (bread wheat). Its description in RNAcentral is "partial small subunit ribosomal RNA". The record is from RNAcentral. Lineage: Eukaryota; Viridiplantae; Streptophyta; Magnoliopsida; Poales; Poaceae.
AUGGCGAGCAUGCCGGAGCAGUCCUCGGAGGUGAGCUGCUCCGGCCUGACCCAUGUGAACAGCGAAGGCUUUGGCUACCAGCAGCCUCAGGCCGUCAGGGCUCACGCCGGCGCCGGCCAGUUCCAUCUGCCUCCUUACGGCGAUGUCGGUGCCGGCGACUACGAGCUGCGGCACGUGUACCCACAGAUGUACUCGAGGCCUCCGCACUUCUCGCAGGUGCUGUCGCGGUAG